RNAcentral lists this ribosomal RNA (305 nucleotides) under uncultured bacterium. RNAcentral describes it as "bacterial SSU rRNA". It matches the Rfam family "Bacterial small subunit ribosomal RNA", at positions 333 to 636 of the family's 1533-position model. The record is from RNAcentral.
UUUGUCCUAUGGGGCGCAGCAGUGAGGAAUAUUGGUCAAUGGGCGGGAGCCUGAACCAGCCAAGUCGCGUGAGGGAUGACGGCCCUAUGGGUUGUAAACCUCUUUUGCCGGGGAGCAAAGUGCCGCACGUGUGCGGUUUGGAGAGUACCCGGAGAAAAAGCAUCGGCUAACUCCGCGCCAGCAGCCGCGGUAAUACGGAGGAUGCGAGCGUUAUCCGGAUUUAUUGGGUUUAAAGGGUGCGCAGGCGGAUUUUUAAGUCAGCGGUCAAAUCGUGGGGCUCACCCCCAUACAGCCGUUGAAACUGG